CGGGGUGAGUAACACUGGGUAACCUGCCUAAAAGAAGGGGAUAACACUUGGAAACAGGUGCUAAUACCGUAUAUCUCUAAGGAUCGCAUGAUCCUUGGAUGAAAGAUGGUUCUGCUAUCGCUUUUAGAUGGACCCGCGGCGUAUUAACUAGUUGGUGGGGUAACGGCCUACCAAGGUGAUGAUACGUAGCCGAACUGAGAGGUUGAUCGGCCACAUUGGGACUGAGACACGGCCCAA
RNAcentral lists this ribosomal RNA (237 nucleotides) under uncultured bacterium. RNAcentral's name for it is "partial 16S ribosomal RNA". It matches the Rfam family "Bacterial small subunit ribosomal RNA", at positions 104 to 334 of the family's 1533-position model. The record is from RNAcentral.